RNAcentral lists this microRNA (22 nucleotides) under Gallus gallus (chicken). RNAcentral's name for it is "microRNA Ros-gga". Lineage: Eukaryota; Metazoa; Chordata; Aves; Galliformes; Phasianidae. The record is from RNAcentral.
CCCCUCUCCUGUAUUUUCCUCU